AGUCAAAAAGGCUAAAUAAAACAAUAAACACAUAAUUAACUGUAAUUAAACCAGUUUAGGUAUAAACUAUGAUUAAAGCACAAUUGGACCCUUGUCUGAAAUCUAAGAGCAUAUCCAUAACAGUUGAGACUCAUUCCAAAUUUAUAAAUACUAGAGAAGAUCCAACGUCAAAAGUAAUCUUUCACUCUUAACUCAUCGGCAUAUUGUACUCGGACUAACUUGAGCGUCGGAACGUCUUCGUAGGUACCCUACCCCGUCGUUCUUGGAGAAAAACUUGCAAGAUGGAGAGACACCGAACAAGGGCUGUGGGGACGAGAAGACGGAAGCUACGAGAGUGAUUCUGAAAGGUACCCAACCGACCUGUAAGAAUAUAUAUAUAUAUAUAUAUAUAUUAAAUUACGGUAUUAAUUUGAAAAAAAAGCAUGAGAAAUAAAAAAAGGUGUAAGAAGUAUAGGAAGUGGGAGAUUAGUUAAAAAAGAGUGAGAUUAAAUAGGCAUAAAACUUUGUGAGUGAUCCGUUGAAGUGUAUGCAUAAUAAUGCAGUGCAUGUGGUGAAGAGGGAAUGAAUUGGAUAACUAGAAAUGAAGUGAGAUGCGGGAUCACGUGAGUUUCCAUAAAAAAAUACAAAUAACGGAAGAGUGAAACGAGUGUAAUAAUGAUUUCUUUAAUUUUCCAAAUUAGUACUACAAUUUGAAACUUUAUAAAACGAGAUUCCAAUAAAUUGAAAAAAAAAUGUUUAUAUGGUAAGUACUGGAGAAUUGAUGUUAAUGAUAAUUUAAAUUCAUCUUUCUUUUAAAUAAUAAUACGAAAAAAAAUGGGAGUGGGACCAUGGGGAUGGAGUCUUUUUGAAAUGGCUUUAAUCAGGUUGUCGUUCUAGGUUGAAACCUCUCUCAUUGCUUCAACGGUUCACUCACUCACUCACUCUCUUUUUUUCUUUGCUUCAGUUCACACUUCCUAUUCAGAUUCUUCAUUCGUAUUUAUAUUAUUGCUUACAGAGGUAAGCUGCUACUACUCCCACUACUUCACUUCUCUCUCUCUCUCUCUCUCUCUCUGAGUAUUUGGUGAAUGAAAUGGUGUGAUGUGAUUUGCAGAGGAGAAGAGGGAAUGGCUUACAUGUGUGCAGACAGUGGGAACCUCAUGGCC
RNAcentral lists this long non-coding RNA (1142 nucleotides) under Phaseolus vulgaris (common bean). RNAcentral describes it as "long non-coding RNA (PVUL_LNC000036)". Lineage: Eukaryota; Viridiplantae; Streptophyta; Magnoliopsida; Fabales; Fabaceae. The record is from RNAcentral.